UACGUAGGGUGCAAGCGUUAAUCGGAAUUACUGGGCGUAAAGCGUGCGUAGACGGUUAUUUAAGUCAGAUGUGAAAGCCCCGGGCUCAACCUGGGAAUUGCAUUUGAGACUGAAUAGCUAGGGUACGGUAGAGGGAAGCGGAAUUUCCGGUGUAGCGGUGAAAUGCGUAGAUAUCGGAAGGAACAUCAGUGGCGAAAGCGGCUUCCUGGACCAGUACCGACGUUCAGGCACGAAAGCGUGGGGAGCAAACAGG
Molecule: ribosomal RNA, 253 nt
Filed under: uncultured bacterium
Lineage: Bacteria
Description: partial 16S ribosomal RNA
Rfam family: Bacterial small subunit ribosomal RNA
Source: RNAcentral